This 434-nucleotide ribosomal RNA is filed under the name uncultured Verrucomicrobiota bacterium. Its description in RNAcentral is "bacterial SSU rRNA". It matches the Rfam family "Bacterial small subunit ribosomal RNA", at positions 958 to 1385 of the family's 1533-position model. Lineage: Bacteria; Pseudomonadati; Verrucomicrobiota. The record is from RNAcentral.
AACGCGAAGAACCUUACCUGGCCUUGACAUGCUGGUAGUAGGAGCCUGAAAGGGUAACGACUCAUCGUAAGAUGAGAGCCAGCACAGGUGCUGCAUGGUUGUCGUCAGCUCGUGUCGUGAGAUGUUGGCUUAAGUGCCGCAACGAGCGCAACCCUUGUGUUUAGUUGCCCGCGCAAGCGGGAUCUCUAAACAGACUGCCUCGCUUUAAACGAGGAGGAAGGUGGGGAUGACGUCAAAUCAGUAUGGCCCUUACGGCCAGGGCUGCACACGUGCUACAAUGCAUGGUACAGAGGGACGCAAGACCGCGAGGUGGAGCAAAUCCCACAAAACCAUGCCCAGUUCAGAUUGAAGGCUGCAACUCGCCUUCAUGAAGCCGGAAUCGCUAGUAAUGGCGCAUCAGCUACGGCGCCGUGAAUACGUUCCCGGGCCUUGUA